UAUCAAAGGAGAAAUCCGCUUUGAGAUGGGCCCGCGUCUGAUUAGCUAGUUGGUGAGGUAAUGGCUCACCAAGGCGACGAUCAGUAGCCGGCCUGAGAGGGUGAACGGCCACACUGGAACUGAGACACGGUCCAGACUCCUACGGGAGGCAGCAGUGGGGAAUAUUGCACAAUGGGCGAAAGCCUGAUGCAGCGACGCCGCGUGAGUGAAGAAGGUCUUCGGAUCGUAAAACUCUGUCCUUGGUGAAGAAAAAAAUGACGGUAGCCAAGGAGGAAGCCCCGGCUAACUACGUGCCAGCAGCCGCGGUAAUACGUAGGGGGCGAGCGUUGUCCGGAUUUACUGGGCGUAAAGGGUGAGUAGGCGGUAAUAUGUGUCAGAUGUAAAAGGCUAUGGCUUAACCAUGGACGUGCAUUUGAAACUGAAGGGCUCGAGUGCAGGAGAGGUAAGUGGAAUUCCUAGUGUAGCGGUGAAAUGCGUAGAUAUUAGGAGGAACACCAGUGGCGAAGGCGACUUACUGGACUGUAACUGACGCUGAGGCGCGAAAGCGUGGGGAGCAAACAGGAUUAGAUACCCUGGUAGUCCACGCUGUAAACGAUGGAUACUAGGUGUGGGAGGUAUCGACCCCUUCCGUGCCGCAGUAAACAGCAAUAAGUAUCCCGCCUGGGGAGUACGGCCGCAAGGUUGAAACUCAAAGGAAUUGACGGGGGCCCGCACAAGCAGCGGAGCAUGUGGUUUAAUUCGAAGCAACGCGAAGAACCUUACCAGAACUUGACAUCCCCCUGACCGGUACAGAGAUGUACCUUCCCCUUCGGGGGCAGGGGUGACAGGUGGUGCAUGGUUGUCGUCAGCUCGUGUCGUGAGAUGUUGGGUUAAGUCCCGCAACGAGCGCAACCCUUGUCCUUAGUUGCCAGCACUUCGGGUGGGAACUCUAAUGAGACUGCCGGUGACAAACCGGAGGAAGGUGGGGAUGACGUCAAAUCAUCAUGCCCCUUAUGUCUUGGGCUACACACGUGCUACAAUGGCCUGAACAGAGGGAAGCGNAAGCCGCAAGGCGGAGCGAAUCUCAAAAAACCGGUCCCGGUUCGGAUCGUGGGCUGCAACCCGCCCACGUGAAGCCGGAGUUGCUAGUAAUCGCGAAUCAGCAUGUCGCGGUGAAUGCGUUCCCGGGUCUUGUACACACCGCCCGUCACACCAUGGAAGUUGGGGGGACCCGAAGCCAGUG
This 1222-nucleotide ribosomal RNA is filed under the name uncultured bacterium. RNAcentral's name for it is "partial 16S ribosomal RNA". It matches the Rfam family "Bacterial small subunit ribosomal RNA", at positions 199 to 1432 of the family's 1533-position model. The record is from RNAcentral.